ACAUUGGGACUGAGACACGGCCCAAACUCCUACGGGAGGCAGCAGUAGGGAAUCUUCCACAAUGGACGCAAGUCUGAUGGAGCAACGCCGCGUGAGUGAAGAAGGCUUUCGGGUCGUAAAACUCUGUUGUUGGAGAAGAAUGGUCGGCAGAGUAACUGUUGUCGGCGUGACGGUAUCCAACCAGAAAGCCACGGCUAACUACGUGCCAGCAGCCGCGGUAAUACGUAGGUGGCAAGCGUUAUCCGGAUUUAUUGGGCGUAAAGCGAGCGCAGGCGGUUUUUUAAGUCUGAUGUGAAAGCCCUCGGCUUAACCGAGGAAGCGCAUCGGAAACUGGGAAACUUGAGUGCAGAAGAGGACAGUGGAACUCCAUGUGUAGCGGUGAAAUGCGUAGAUAUAUGGAAGAACACCAGUGGCGAAGGCGGCUGUCUGGUCUGUAACUGACGCUGAGGCUCGAAAGCAUGGGUAGCGAACAGGAUUAGAUACCCUGGUAGUCCAUGCCGUAAACGAUGAAUGCUAGGUGUUGGAGGGUUUCCGCCCUUCAGUGCCGCAGCUAACGCAUUAAGCAUUCCGCCUGGGGAGUACGACCGCAAGGUUGAAACUCAAAGGAAUUGACGGGGGCCCGCACAAGCGGUGGAGCAUGUGGUUUAAUUCGAAGCAACGCGAAGAACCUUACCAGGUCUUGACAUCUUUUGAUCACCUGAGAGAUCAGGUUUCCCCUUCGGGGGCAAAAUGACAGGUGGUGCAUGGUUGUCGUCAGCUCGUG
Molecule: ribosomal RNA, 763 nt
Filed under: Lacticaseibacillus paracasei
Lineage: Bacteria; Bacillati; Bacillota; Bacilli; Lactobacillales; Lactobacillaceae
Description: bacterial SSU rRNA
Rfam family: Bacterial small subunit ribosomal RNA
Source: RNAcentral